GACGAACGCUGGCGACGUGCUAACACAUGCAAGUCGAACGGUAAGGCCCUUCGGGGUACACGAGUGGCGAACGGGUGAGUAACACGUGGGUGAUCUGCCCUGCACUUCGGGAUAAGCCUGGGUAACUGGGUCUAAUACCGGAUAGGACCACUGCCUGCAUGGGUGGUGGUGGAAAGCUUUUGCGGUGUGGGAUGGGCCCGCGGCCUAUCAGCUUGUUGGUGGGGUGAUGGCCUACCAAGGCGGCGACGGGUAGCCGGCCUGAGAGGGUGACCGGCAGCACUGGGACUGAGAUCCGGCCCAGGCCCCUACGGGAGGCAGCAUUGGGGAAUAUUGGACAAUGGGCGCAAGCCUGAUGCAGCGACGCCGCGUGAGGGAUGACGGCCUUCGGGUUGUAAACCUCUUUCAGCACCGACGAAGCGCAAGUGACGGUAGGUGCAGAAGAAGGACCGGCCAACUACGUGCCAGCAGCCGCCGUAA
This 477-nucleotide ribosomal RNA is filed under the name uncultured bacterium. RNAcentral's name for it is "partial 16S ribosomal RNA". It matches the Rfam family "Bacterial small subunit ribosomal RNA", at positions 28 to 523 of the family's 1533-position model. The record is from RNAcentral.